This 638-nucleotide ribosomal RNA is filed under the name uncultured bacterium. RNAcentral describes it as "bacterial SSU rRNA". It matches the Rfam family "Bacterial small subunit ribosomal RNA", at positions 112 to 748 of the family's 1533-position model. The record is from RNAcentral.
AACGCGUAUCCAACCUGCCCAUCACUUGGGGAUAACCUUGCGAAAGUAAGACUAAUACCCAAUGACGUCUCUAGAAGACAUCUGAAAGAGAUUAAAGAUUUAUCGGUGAUGGAUGGGGAUGCGUCUGAUUAGCUUGUUGGCGGGGUAACGGCCCACCAAGGCGACGAUCAGUAGGGGUUCUGAGAGGAAGGUCCCCCACAUUGGAACUGAGACACGGUCCAAACUCCUACGGGAGGCAGCAGUGAGGAAUAUUGGUCAAUGGGCGAGAGCCUGAACCAGCCAAGUAGCGUGCAGGAUGACGGCCCUAUGGGUUGUAAACUGCUUUUAUAAGGGAAUAAAGUGAGUCUCGUGAGGCUUUUUGCAUGUACCUUAUGAAUAAGGACCGGCUAAUUCCGUGCCAGCAGCCGCGGUAAUACGGAAGGUCCGGGCGUUAUCCGGAUUUAUUGGGUUUAAAGGGAGCGUAGGCCGGAGAUUAAGCGUGUUGUGAAAUGUAGACGCUCAACGUCUGCACUGCAGCGCGAACUGGUUUCCUUGAGUACGCACAAAGUGGGCGGAAUUCGUGGUGUAGCGGUGAAAUGCUUAGAUAUCACGAAGAACUCCGAUUGCGAAGGCAGCUCACUGGAGCGCAACUGACGCUG